GCCAGGUAUGGAUUGGACAGAGGUGCCUUUGGCCUGAUGAAAAGCCCUUUAAGUUUGUACUUAGAUGACAACCAAAAUAAACUUAAAAACUUUGAACUUGUGCCUGAACAGUAGAUAGUCACUAUUUUAUUAGCUAACAUACUGACUAGUCUAUAGUGGAUCUGACUGCCCGAUGCUGUCAAGCUGACAACCAGUAAUAUUUCAGAGAUCUGAGAAGGGUAUAUUUUAUCCGAAUCUACUGAAAAGUGACAGAAGCCAGUCUAUAUACAGUUAGCCAAACCCAAGUUUCUCCAUUACCGUUGGAGGCAGCUGUCUCAAAGACCAGCAAUCUUCGCCAGGCCUAUACUGUGAGAGUUUUUUUCCUCUCUGUGGAAGAGGGACAUGGAAAAGACUGACCUUGUUUUGUCUAGGCAAAGGGGUGCAAUCAAUUUUCCAGUGUCCAGCAGCUUUGUCCACAGUCUCGGCCAGGUUCUGGCAGGCGGCAGGUAUCACAUCUGAGCAUCUCGCUCACUGGUCCAGGUGUAGGAACUGAGGUGCCUCGUAAUCUUCUUUGGAGACUUUGGGUCACUGUCAGGAUCUGGCAGUCUGUCUGACAUUAUAAACUUUAAAGAUAACAAUUUAAAUGCCAUAUUCUGAAGAUCUCUGAAGCAUUAGAGGUCUGUUUGUCUGUUUUAGUUACUUGCCUUAAGCACACAUUAAGCAUACAGGUGGCUAGGUAAGGUCUUAUUUCUAGGCACAUGUUCGACCAUUAUGGCUGCCAAAAGGGAAGCCGGUUCCUU
This 779-nucleotide long non-coding RNA is filed under the name Cricetulus griseus (Chinese hamster). RNAcentral describes it as "lncRNA (ENSCGRG00015041547.1)". Lineage: Eukaryota; Metazoa; Chordata; Mammalia; Rodentia; Cricetidae. The record is from RNAcentral.